This 2821-nucleotide unclassified non-coding RNA is filed under the name Leishmania donovani. RNAcentral's name for it is "gene:LdHU3.15.0440(CDS-product:hypothetical_prote in_conserved)". The record is from RNAcentral. Lineage: Eukaryota; Euglenozoa; Kinetoplastea; Trypanosomatida; Trypanosomatidae.
CGGCUGCACGUAUUUGAUCGGACUGUGACGCUGCGCCUUCUCCGCAGACCUCCCCCCCUCCACACACGCAGAGACAGACAGCUGCAGACGUUUGCUCGGGUACGUCGGCCGCACUCCUCAAGCCUGGGCCAAGGGUGCUGCCCAACUCCAUCGGCGCCUCGCAUCUCCCUUUGUGAGGCGACGCCUUACCCAACACCUUUUCUCUGUCCGCAUCAUCCUCCCAGUCCGCUGCCGUCCAUUGCCGAGAGGAGUAAGCGCGAGAUUUGAGAGAAAAGCCAAGCAACAGCGCCGAGGCAAGAUGCCGCCGCGAGCAGCUACGCGCACGGUGCGCCUCCGCCAGUCGCCGCGGGCUGUGGCACACACGGAGCGCUUGAAGCUGCUCACGUACCCCAUGGCACUCGCCCAGCGAGGUGCUACAGUGCCGCUCAUCCACAGCCCUACCAUGAAUGCUGGCCACGUGAGCGGCCCGGCAACGCGACUUCUUGCUGACACACUGAGCUGCUUCAACAGGGGCGGUGGUGGCGGCGGGGCUCGACGACCCCCCGCGGCGAGAGCGUACAACGAGUGUGUGGAAGGCUCGUCCGGUGUAGCCGCAUCCAGCGAAGAGGAUGGCGACGCUACCGGCGCGCAGACGCUCCCGGCCCCGCGGCGAUGGGUGCGCGAUGCCGACGAACUUUGCGUUGCCUCCAUCCGCCGCAGCAACAACAUCAAUCGCAUCAACUCCUACAUAGCCACGUACAAGCUUGGCGACCCGCAGUGGCGUCCGCUACUGCUACCGGAGGUGCACGUGCUGCCCAAGGCGCGCACUGCUAGCACCGACACACCGAAGACGGCAGGCGCACAGGAGCAGCAGGCGACGGGCCACUCCUGUCGUCUCUCUUCCUCGGCAGCAUCGAGUACCGUGGACGGAUACGACGUCUUCAUCGACUACAACAAGCUGACGACGCUGGAGCUCAUGUCGAGGCAUGCCAACUACGCACUGCGCCACCUCGUCCAGAAGGGUCAUGCCAUGUAUCUUGUGACCUUCGCCCAGCACUCGGUGGUGCAGAUGCGCGGCUUGGUGGAGGCGUCCUACAUAAGCUGUGCGUACGGCAUUCGUGGGGAGCGGCUGCGCACGCACAUCAUCCACACGGGCCCCGUUGACGUGCGCGAGGUGCUGGAGAUAGACCCCGUGACGCUGCGCGUGUCCUUCGACUUACAGAAGCAGCACGUGCGCCGCGGUGUGGUGGCCGUGUCCACUGUGGAGGGCUACGGAACCUGGUUUCAGCGCAAGCCGAUGCUCUGGCAGCGCACGCGCCGCAUCGGCGCUCUGCAGAGUCAGAUGGGCUCCUACGACUACCAGCUGUGCGACAGCGCCGAGGUGGGGCGGCUGCGCCCGUACGAAGUCUCGCUGCUCGCACCGCACGUGCGUCUGAUCGGCGUCCAGGGCGGGGCCGACGCUGUAGCCCUCAUCGCCUCCUCACAAGUUGCUCAGAACGAGCGGCUUUACAUGGGGCAGUUCGAGGCACCGGUGCUCACAGCCGUGGACGCCGUGCAUCAGCUCAUCCAUCGCACCGCAUUGCACCAUCAACUGCUGCGGCCUGCACUGACGGAGGAAGCCAGUGGCGACGCUGCGGUGCCGGCGACGGCGGCGUUGGAGGACCCGCAGCUACAGGAGCUGCGCCGCCUCGCCGGGAUGGAGCGCUUCCUCCCGGUCAGUUGGGUGACCCGCACCCCACCGCCGUACGUGCCACUCGAGUCGGACCUUCCUUUCCGCAUUCAGCUCUCCCGCCCCGCUGUGAUUCGCACCGAUGCGCGCAGCACGCAGACCGGCGGCACGGCGGACAGCAACGCGGCCAUUGUCUUUCCCACUGGCGGCUCCGUCGGCUCGCCGUUUGUGAGGGGGGUGCCGCUGAGCCUCUUCGAGUACAACAUCCACCAGGGCGUCGACCACUACAUCUUCGACGACGCCCCCAGCGCGCGGCCGCUCAAGUGGUGGAACCAAAAGUCAAACAUGCCGUACAGCGGCUACGUGUACGGCAUGCGGAGCGGUCUGCUGGACCGCGUCGAGCCGGCAGAGAAAAUACCGAACCCACUUGCGCCGCCAGCCGUGGCAGCGGCGUCGGCGACACCUGCGAAGUCAGGGCGCCGGCGCAAGAGGCGCGCUGCACGUGCACGGCGGCAUACCUUUUCUGCGGGCAGUACGGUGGGGGCGGCGAGUGAGGUCUCGCUCUCUGCGAUAGAAGAGGUGGCAGACGUGGUGGAGCGGGCAGCGCCGAGCUCUUCCCCCUCUUCUUCACCGCAUGUAGGCGACGCUGAGGACGAUAGGCCGCUGAACCUGGCGGCGGAGGAACUAGCCGCCGGCGAGGAAGAGCUUACCGGGUAUGAGGAUGACAGUCGACGAGAGGCGGCCUUGGCUUGGGCUGAAGAUGGCAUGGACAUUUCCGUGGAAGAUCGGCCACCGCUGCACACUCUUGUGGCACCUACGACGGCUGCCCGGCGACGUCUGCGGCGUUAUGCGAAGGCGUCGCCAUUGCCGUCAAGCGCUGGUGCUGCGUCCUCUUCAUCGGGAGCAUUGGAGACCCGAGCGAAUAUGCUGCUGCAGCGGCAGGUGCGGCUGCGGCUAAUGCGACGGCGACGAAACGCGCAAGGAGCGUCGCCGCUGCCGCCCAAGGACGGCGCGCGCCCUCCUGACGCUACCUCUGACGAGAAGGCUCUGUAGGCCACGUGUGUGCGUGUUGUCAUAGCAUAUCUUCGGCACUCUUGCUUUUCUCCGCGUCUUUCCUUUAACGCUCGCAUGUUGUGGGAGAAGGCGCGUCUGGCCGCCUAUCUGUGUGUGUGU